RNAcentral lists this small RNA (702 nucleotides) under Vigna angularis var. angularis. Its description in RNAcentral is "Non-protein coding transcript". The record is from RNAcentral. Lineage: Eukaryota; Viridiplantae; Streptophyta; Magnoliopsida; Fabales; Fabaceae.
AUCUCUUUUACUCUUUCCAUGAUGAAAACUACAUGAUUUUUGUUUUCCUAAUGCAAUCAACCUAUUAUCUUACCUCUCAAUUAUCGUAGCAACUUCAUAGAUUAUUUGAAAGGUUGGUCUUUGGAGGUUACAUAGAUUAUUUAACUAUUAGGCAAUUUUUUGGUAAUUCUUUUACUUUCACUCCCUAGCAACCUUGAGCAGCUAAAUACGUUAGAAGAUAUAACUAAACUUAUAUGACCAGGACUUGUCUUAAAGGACUUCUUCUAUUUCCUUCAUUAAUGAUUAAUUCUUUUGGCCACAUUCUGAAAAGUUCAAAAGAUGUCCCCUUUUUCUAAUCAAAUCUUAAUUUGUUUCAGUAGGAAUUACAUCUAAUUUAGAGUCUGUACAAAAAAAAGGGUGUCUGGAUAAUUUCCUCUAUUUCCUGUCCUUUAUUUCAAAUAAUAAUUUUUAAGGGACAAAAUGCCUUAAAGCUUGAAAGAAGGGCCACAUUUUGAUUAAAUUGCAAGUGAUGUUUGUUACCUUGGUUUCACUUUAUCUGAUGAAAUGCUAAAACUUAGCUUAAGAUUUAGAAUACUUAUCUGCAAGUUUCCCCUGUGCAUCAAAUUGUAAGUGUGUUUUACAGUUUUUAGAAGCCAGUCUAACUUUGUAAAAGCUAUGCAACAGGACAGAAUGUUCUUUUUACAUGGUAUAAUUGGUUAUAAA